Molecule: ribosomal RNA, 479 nt
Filed under: uncultured Treponema sp.
Lineage: Bacteria; Pseudomonadati; Spirochaetota; Spirochaetia; Treponematales; Treponemataceae
Description: bacterial SSU rRNA
Rfam family: Bacterial small subunit ribosomal RNA
Source: RNAcentral
AACGAACGCUGGCGGCGCGUCUUAAGCAUGCAAGUCGGACGGCAAGGCGGGAGCUUGCUCCUGCCCUAGAGUGGCGGACUGGUGAGUAACACGUGGGUGACAUGCCUUGAGGACGGGGAUAGCCGGUAGAAAUAUCGGACAAUACCGGAUAAGCUCGCAUCUGUUAGAGGGGUGUGAGGAAAGGGGCUACGGCCCCGCCUUAAGAGUGGCCCGCGGCCCAUUAUGCUAGUUGGCGGGGUAACGGCCCACCAAGGCUCUGAUGGGUAUCCGGCCUAAGAGGGUGAACGGACACAUUGGGACUGAGAUACGGCCCAGACUCCUACGGGAGGCAGCAGCUAAGAAUAUUCCGCAAUGGGCGAAAGCCUGACGGAGCGACGCCGCGUGGAUGAAGAAGGCCGUGAAGUUGUAAAGUCCUUUUGAACCUGAAGAAUAAGCUGUGGAGGGAAUGCUACAGUGGUGACGGUAGGGUUUGAAUAAGC